RNAcentral lists this long non-coding RNA (608 nucleotides) under Gallus gallus (chicken). Its description in RNAcentral is "long non-coding RNA NONGGAT008195". The record is from RNAcentral. Lineage: Eukaryota; Metazoa; Chordata; Aves; Galliformes; Phasianidae.
AGCUGUACAUUCCAGUGGAUCAGUGAUUGCUGCAAGAUAUACAGCAAUGUGAAUUUUAAGAGAAAACUGCUUUCUGGAUGUUAUUUGAGCUAGCAGCUGUCCAAAAUCCUCAGCUCACCUCUUACCAAGAAAGAGCAUGUCAGAUCCAAACUGAACUUCUUGGAAAAGAGAACUCGGCCAGUGAACCCAUUUUCACAUCAGUGUAAUGACCUUAACAAAAAUGAAGGUGGACCAAGGAAAACUUGCAGGGUUUAUGAAGAGUUCUGCACUAUCUUUUCAACCACUGAAUUCUCCACUGCUCUGGGUCUGACAAUGCAAACUGUAAUUGUGAAGAUGAAUCCAGUCUGGAUUACCUUUUACACAGAAAUUGCCACAGCUCAUGAAACUUCAUCUGGUUACAACUAAUGCAAUGGAACUGCGUGAAUUAAUCUCAGGUAGCUGGAGAGAACAAUGAGGAUUCCACUCAGCCUUAUGACUGUGCCUUCUCUGACAGCUGCAUACAGAAGAUAAUGCUGAGACGGAAGGAGUCCAGAGAGAGUUUAAAGACAGUUGUUAAAGCUCUCCAUUUGUGUUAUGAAGUUUUACAAAGGUCCUGUUUUGGAAUGGAU